UGCCGCGUGUGUGAAGAAGGCCUUCGGGUUGUAAAGCACUUUUGUCCGGAAAGAAAACCUCGUGGUUAAUACCCGUGGGGGAUGACGGUACCGGAAGAAUAAGCACCGGCUAACUACGUGCCAGCAGCCGCGGUAAUACGUACGGUGCAAGCGUUAAUCGGAAUUACUGGGCGUAAAGCGUGCGCAGGCGGUUCGCUAAGACAGAUGUGAAAUCCCCGGGCUUAACCUGGGAACUGCAUUUGUGACUGGCGGGCUAGAGUAUGGCAGAGGGGGGUAGAAUUCCACGUGUAGCAAUGAAAUGCGUAGAGAUGUGGAGGAAUACCGAUGGCGAAGGCGGCCCCCUGGGCCAAUACUGACGCUCAUGCACGAAAGCGUGGGGAGCAAACAGGAUUAGAUACCCUGGUAGUCCACGCCCUAAACGAUGUCAACUAGUUGUUGGGGAUUCAUUUCCUUAGUAACGUAGCUAACGCGUGAAGUUGACCGCCUGGGGAGUACGGUCGCAAGAUUAAAACUCAGAGGAAUUGACGGGGACCCGCACAAGCGGUGGAUGAUGUGGAUUAAUUCGAUGCAACGCGAAAAACCUUAC
This 586-nucleotide ribosomal RNA is filed under the name Burkholderia sp. So3Ps_1823. RNAcentral's name for it is "bacterial SSU rRNA". It matches the Rfam family "Bacterial small subunit ribosomal RNA", at positions 395 to 974 of the family's 1533-position model. Lineage: Bacteria; Pseudomonadati; Pseudomonadota; Betaproteobacteria; Burkholderiales; Burkholderiaceae. The record is from RNAcentral.